This 460-nucleotide ribosomal RNA is filed under the name uncultured bacterium. RNAcentral's name for it is "partial 16S ribosomal RNA". It matches the Rfam family "Bacterial small subunit ribosomal RNA", at positions 338 to 795 of the family's 1533-position model. The record is from RNAcentral.
CCUACGGGUGACAGCAGUGAGGAAUAUUGGUCAAUGGCCGGAAGGCUGAACCAGCCAUGCCGCGUGAAGGUCAGUGCCCUAUGGGCGUUAAACUUCUUUUGUGCGGGAGCAAUAAUGGUCACGUGUGGCCAGACGAGAGUACCGUACGAAUAAGCAUCCGCUAACCUCGUGCCAGCAGCCGCGGUAAUACGGGGGAUGCAAGCGUUAUCCCGAUUUUUUGGGUUUAAAGGGUGCGUAGGCUGUGAGGUAAGUCAGCGGUGAAAUGCCCGCGGUCAACGGGGUGAAGUGCCAUUGAUACUGGCUGGCUUGAAUGCGGAUGCGGUAGGAGGAAUGUGUGGUGUAGCGGUGAAAUGCAUAGAUAUCACGCAGAACACCGAUUGCGAAGGCAUCUCACGAAUCCGCGAUUGACGCUGAUGCACGAAAGCGUGGGUAUCAAACAGGAUUAGAUACCCGUGUAGUC